GCCUCUGUGAUGCAGUGGUAGCUCGCGCCCCCGAAUGGGUGAAACGCGGGUUCGACUCCCGCCUGAGGCG
Molecule: non-coding RNA, 70 nt
Organism: Parelaphostrongylus tenuis
Lineage: Eukaryota; Metazoa; Nematoda; Chromadorea; Rhabditida; Metastrongylidae
Source: the annotation of a GenBank genome assembly